This is a non-coding RNA of Heterocephalus glaber (naked mole-rat), 7404 nucleotides long. The record is from RefSeq and is a predicted model, not a curated record. NCBI's taxonomy places the organism in Eukaryota, Metazoa, Chordata, Mammalia, Rodentia, Bathyergidae.
AAGUGUAAUUCAUAGUAUCACUCAUGGUGGUGAUGAUGAUAGAGACCUUUGAAGGCCACCACCAAGGACAGCUCUGCAUUGGUCAUCUAGGCCAAGACAGGAGUGUAACUAGGAGAGUAGGGGUAGUUGGUACCUCAACCCAGUUCUCCUCACUUCCUGUGUUCAAUCUUAACCACUGUCCUUGUGUCUCUCUGUGCCUAAUUUCAUUUCACAGUACUUACUUGUGUCUGGCAUUGUAGUUUGAGUUGAGAGUACUAGAAACCCAGGCUCCAUUCUCACCCAUCUGCUCCUGGGGCACCAUCUCUAGGUUACCCUUAAUCUCCUGGCACUCAGAAUUAAUGGCUGGGUUUGGGAGUGAGGGCAGGGAGAAAUGAGUAGGGGAACUCUGUGGAAUGAGGUCUGUGGCCAAGAGAGGACUUCAAGCCUGUAACAUGGCAAAGUGGCCCCAGCUAUUGAGGACUGGGACCAGCACCUCCCUUGCAGAUACACAACUGCAUGGCAGUGUCACAGUUAUGAUGAUGACGACACUGCUUCUCCACUCUACCUAAUUACCCUGCAUCCCAGGAAUAACUGUGUGAUGGGAAAUGCUUGCCCCAAAUCUUAACAAGAACCCACACAAAUGCUUUCAUUAAAGAACACUGACUCGGAAGCUCAAACUGUUGGAUCCUAGUGCUGAGUCUGAAAAGCAGUCAUAGUGUGAUCUUGGGCAGAUCAGUUAUUCUUUCUGGAACCCAGAUUGUUAUAUAAGUAUUUUAAAAUUUUAUUUUAUUAGUACAUGUUUGUGGUACAUCACUAAUACAUUCACUGUGAGUAUUUGGUACAUGUACCGGCACAUCUUAUUUCUUUUUACAUCCCCUUCCUCUCUCCCCUUACCUCUUUCUCUAUUUUUUGGUUCCCUUCUGAUUUUAUAAACAUCUAUCUCCUUAUUUCUUAUUGUCUAUCUUUUAUUUUGCUCUCUAAUUUACUUGUACUUAUACUUUGGGUUUCUCAUAUAAGACAAAUCAUAUUAUUUUUAAGCUUGUGUGCCUAGUUUAUUUGAUUUAACAUUAUGGAUUCAAGGUACAUCCAUUUUAUUUAUUUAAAAUAUACCUGUUAUGACCUUAACAUACAACCACUAAUUCUUUGAUUCUUGGUCCUCUAAAGUGGAGCUUGAUUUUUCUCCCCUAGAAUGUGGUUGGACUUCGUGAUUCCUUUUUAAGGAAUAUGAACAGGGAAGCAUAGUUUACAGUGGAGAGUUCUGGAACAGGAUGUCACAGCCACGUAACCAAGGUGAGAAUUCUGUAACAAGGCAUGUUAAUAUACUGUGCUCCCUAAGAGGACACAACACAAAGGGAACAUUAGCUCUUUGUCAUUCUUACUCAACAGCCACAGCCUCAGAUUAUCAGAGAAAACACCAGAUGACCCACACUGAGGAACAUUCUAUGAAAUACCUGGCCACUACUCUUCAGAAUUGUCCAGGUCAUGAAAGACAAUGGAAGAUUACAGCUGUCAGAGAUGGAAGACUAAGGAGAAUGACAAAUAUAAGCAAUGUGGGGACCUGGAAUGGAAAAGAGGUCAAUAGAAAAAUUAGGGAAAUAUGAACCAAGUCUGCAGUUCAGGUAAUAGUCUUGCACCAGUGAUAAUUCCUUAGAUUUGACAAACACACCAUGGUUAUGCAAGAUCUUAAUGUUAAUGUCAGAAACUGUCUCAUUUGUACCUACAGCUCUUCUGUAAAACUCUAAUUUCAAAGAAAAAGGACUUUUAAAGCUUAUUCCUAUUUAAAUAGUAAACUUCAGGAAUAUUUUUCAACACACAUUAUUUCCAAGGCAGCAAAAGGUCAUCAAUUUAACACUGUAAAAUAACCCACAGGAGUUGAUCUGAAUCCAUGAAGGGCUGUUGGGAAGGGUUUUUUGUACCUUUCACCUGAAAAUGAUCUAUUUGGAAGGAUUUUUGGCAAUGUGUAAAAAGAACCUUAAGCUUUCUUAUACGCUUUGGCCCAGAAUUCUCACUUUUAGGAAUAUAUCCUUAGGGAUAAUCAGAGAAUACUCUUGAGAAGUAUGUAUAUGAAAGCUUGCCCUUGUGUCAGUUUCCAUAGUGAAAAUGCAGAAGCAACCUAACCUACGUGGGCAGCUAGAUGAUGGCACACGCAUGUGCAUGUGUGGGAAGGGCCUCCCCGAAGCGCUGUGCUGAUGAAGGCCUCUAAAGUCCCCAUGCUCCAUGGCCGCCCAUGGUUGUACCUGACUCAGCAGGAAGAGUCUGCUUCUCAGAUUAGUUGGGGACUAAGUAUGGGCACAUUUGAAAACUAUGGACACUAUCUGUGAACACAAGUCAGUUACAUUAAGUCCUAGGGAUCUGGCAUGAGCAGAAGAACUUCCUUUUCUGAUAGACUCAGUAGAAGGAAAAUGUCCUUGAAAUGUCUCCCUCGUGUAUUCAAUACUCAAGACAUGUCUUUGUGAGCCUGUUCUACUGCAGGCAAUGGGCCGGGCCUGGACACAUGGGGAGAACAACACAGGCAUCAACUCUGCUUCCUGCGGCUUCCAGUGAGACGACAGAGAUCAUGCAGGGAACAAGAUGCGCCUACUAGGGGAGGUGACAGCUGUGAGGUAAACAGUGGGCAGACUCCUGUUUCACCACAGAGAACACUGGGCCUGACUUCAACAGGAGGCUCCAGGAAGGCCUCUCUGAAGAGACUGGUGACCGAGGGAAGCAGAGGGGAGAGAGUCCCAGGCAGAGAAGAGGAAAGAUGUAGGACAGGCAAGAGACUGAUGGAUCCCACUGAGAGAAGCCAGUGUGCUGGGAUGUUGUGCCUGAGGUGACCCGACAGGGCAGGACCUGCUGCCCUUGGGUGCUGGAAGGCAGAGAGUGGCUCUCAGGGGGACAAAUAGCCACAAAGACCUCAACCGAGUAGACUUGGACACCACCACUCAAAACUGCCUGAGUCUGGGGCCAAGGGUUACUUGGAGUCCUCGGUGUGGAUCCCUUCUGAAAAGAGUAGAUAGCAUCUUCAUACAAGUUCAGUCAUGGAGGAUUGGCCUCUUAUCUCAGUUACGGCCUUUCAAAUCAUCUCUUGGACCAAGGAACAGGCCUGAUGUGAAUAGAGGCGAAUAAGCUGUAACAACUAAAAGACAUCUGUCCCUCUACACCCAAACUGCCCUUCUCUCCCUGGAAGGAGAAUCCAGAGAAGUGGAAACCCCCCUUUCAUGACAAAGAGGAGAUCACCUGAUUCUGAGCAGGUGAGGGACUGAUCGGAGCUCCACGAAGGCUAGAAGAUGGCCAAUGUCGAAUCUCAACACAGCUUUUCCAAGUGUGGUCUACAAUGUCAAAACGAUUUUCAUAACACUAUGAAGUCAUGUAUUUGUCCCUUCACUUGAUCCUCUCAGGAAUAUAUACGACUUGUAACAUCACAGCUGCUGAGAGCAGAAGCAGGUAUGGAAACCCAGAUGUCUUAUUAGCCCAAAUAGUUUUACCAAAGUGUUAAGCAAUGACACCCUUCUCAUUAAUUUGGGUUUGUUUGGGGUUUUUUGGUCUUGUUUUGUUUUGGAAAAGACAAGAAUUUUCUCAAAAAUAUCUAUGUAAACAUGUCAAGAGUUAUUUUUACAAGUUAAUAAAUAUUUCAUUUCCCCACGUUCCUUUUUAAUAUGACAAGCAUUGGUAGAUGGGGUAUUGAGAUCGCAAAGUUUGCCACUGGUGGCCAAUGAAGUGGGACAGCAAGUCCCAGCCUCGGGAUCUUCAUGUCCACAAUGCUGGCUGCUGCAGGAAGCUACCUGUUUGGUCAGAGGUAUCACUUGGCAGUUCCCUGAAAGUCUCUUUCUUUAUUUUGUUUGACAUAGCUGAAAGCAUGCAAUAAAUAGUUUUUGUAAAGAUUCAAAAUUUUUUUUAGAUUUAGAAUUUUUUUGUCAUUUAAAAUGACAACACUAGUGUUUACUUGGGUUAAAACUCACUAGUGGCUUCCUGCUCUCCUUUGAAUAGAACCCUACCUGAGUUCUGCCCGCCCCUUCAACUUCACCUUCCUAUCACCCUCACCAAACUCCACUCUAUCUUUCUCCAACUGCCUCUGCUUUCUCCUGCCUCAGGACAUUUGCCUGUGCUGUGCCCUCUGUUAGAGUACUCAUACCCAAGAUAGGGCUGUCAAAGGUGAUGGCUUAUUGGGGCAAUACAGCUGGAUGGCUUGAUGUUGGGAGGUGGGGCCUGGUCAGAAGGGGCAGGUCACUGGAAGCAUGACUUGGUUCAUAUUUCCCUCCUGGGCGCCGCCUGCAUCUCUGUGCUUCCUGGCCACCAUGAAGGAAGCAGCUUUUCCCCCAUUAUGCCCCUCUCGACUCAAUGCUACCCUGGAGCCAGUCAACCAUGGACUGUGACUACGAGCCAAAAUAAACUUCUCCCCUUUUAAUGUGGGUCUGGGGUACUUUGUCCCAGUGACAAGCAAGGGACUAAGACAGUAUUCUAAUGGGAGAUUCCUUCUAAAUACUGAAGUCCAAGUCAUGUGUUCGAUGAGACUUUUUAGAUCACUCGAUGCUUUCUUAACUCUGAAAUCCUCUACUGACAUACUUCUGAUUGUCUUUAUCCUACAGGAGUAUAAUUGCCAUGGAAACAGCCUUGUUUACAAGUAGAACCCUAAUCCCCAGAGCAGCACCUGGCCAGUGAAGGUGCUCUACAAGCAGCUGUGAAGUGUUUUACAACUUUUCAUAAAUGCCAUUUAUUUACCUUCCCUGUGGAUAUACAUUAGGCUCCUCAAAUCUGUGACAUUGACACCUGAGCUCUUCCCACAGCCCUUUAACCAGAACCACGUCCUGUGUCCCUCACACUAGCUUCUGACACUGUCUCAUCUGCCCCAGCAUCCACAUCAGAUGUCUGUGAUUCCUAACUCUCUCCAGCACCCACAUGAAAUCAGUCCCCAAGUCUCACUGAUGCCUGAUGCACUGGCCAUUCUUCGCAGCUGCACCUCUCCUCCCAAGGGUCCUCUGCUAGGACAUCUGAUGGGUCCUGGAAGGGCAGCUUGGGGUGGCCAGGCAGGUCUGCUAGGGAGCCCUCUGAGCCCUGCUCAUCCCCACUCUCCACGGCAAAUGGAACCAUUCACUUUAGAAAUGUCCUUUCCGGUUACAGACAGCAGGGCUCUCACAGAAACUAAAGCCAUAAGCAGCAUUUCUUCCAUGACAUAUGGGCUGCUUCUUUCUCUCAGAGCAGAGUUCCAGGCCACCCCCCCCGACACACACACACUGAUUCCUACCAUGGGCUUACAUGCUGAUUCCCUUCUACAACCAGGAGACGAAGCAUCUGAGGGGCCCCAGAGCCUAAUGAAACUCAGUGCCUGGCACGUGGUAAGUACUCAAUCAAAGGAACCUAGCACCUUACAGGUAAGGACACUGGAGUCUGCACCCACUGGGCAGGCUGGUGUCAGGUGCUAAUCUUGCCACAACUUAGUUUCCUUAGUGAUAAAAUGAGGACUACAGGAGGCUUUGAGUGUCCCAUGAAAGGAGACUCAACAGAUGCACACUGUCAUUACAGAAGUUAGGAAACAAAGGAAGAAGGAGGAGAGGGAGAGAGGUGUGCGUGGAUCCAAGCUUUAAGUGGUGUGUAUCAUGAGUGAGCCACAAGGUACAUUUUCCCAACAAUUACACUUUUUGAUGAAAGUGUAAAUCUUUAGUGGGCCAAUAAUCAGAGAGAUUUAACUUGAUAAUAAACUAUUACAUUCACAAAAUCAAUAGAAAAUUAGAACAAGACUUAAAUGAAAAUGAGUACCUUGAUGGAAUUAAGCAUUUUCCUCACAAAUACCUAAUUAUAUCAAUCACUUCUGAUUCUGGCCUUGUCUCAGACUCUAUCGAAGCACAUUGAGUCAGUUAUAUUAGAAACUGCCUUUCCCAGGGAAGGGCAAUGGCUUAGCAUGAUUUAGAUUCAGGGACUGUCACAGAUAUUAAAGCCACAAGCAUGGUUUCUUCUUUGUCAGGAUUCUUCUCCUUGCAAGAGAUUUCCAACUACCCAAUUAUCCUAGACAACGCUUCCUUUUUAUUCUCCUUUGGUGACUAGGAACAGCUAAGAGGGGCACAAGAGUCCAGACCAGAACCCACAUGGACCUGUCCCACCCCAUUUCUGUUACCUCUGCCCCUCUGCACACACUGGUUGACCAGAUGUUCUGAUGUGGGAAGUGGUCUGUCCUGAGACUAUGCUGGCUGCAUGGUGCCAACACCAUGAUUCUGAGUGACCUCAUUUGUUUACAUAAACAGGGACUCCACAAAACUAUGCCUCAAAGUCCCUGUCCUUCCAGCAUCACCUACACUGCUUCCACUUCCAAAAUGUCUGCUCCUCAUUUUCAGUAUUCAGAAUGAGAGAGAAAGCCAUGCUCCUCAGGUAGCCACUAAUCCGCUUGGCAUGCCACCAGUGUCUUCUCGAAGAUCAGAAACACAAGAGAGGGGAGAGCUCUCUCCCUUUCCAACUCCCCUGUAUUCCUUUUUAAGGAAAGCUCCUCCUUGCUGCCUUCUCUGUGGGAGUAAUUUACUAGCCUUAUCAACCACAUUAUAUAGAGUAAAAAAUAAUCCAGCUACAAGUUACAAUCUAAAAACGGUUUGGAGAGCACAGAAUCCAGGACUCACAGAAUGCCAUAUGUAUAUAAGCCUUAAUAAGGUUCUUAAACAGUUUCAAAGGGAUUUCUGCUCCAAGACCACAGGGCCUGCUCCUUUUAGCUCUUGGUGUGAACUGGUUUUUUCAAGAUGCAUAACCCUCUGGCUGUGUGUUGCAAAGGAGAGCUAUAUAAUAACUUUUUUUGGCCUUAAAAAACAUUUGUCAUUUAAAGAGAACACAUUGUGGAAUAAAUAAGAGGUGCUCAGCUUCGGCACAUCUGCUCUUGAUUUAUGUAAUUAGCAGAAAUGCACUAGCAGGAUCCAGGAAGCCCGAGCACCAGCCCCACCCUGGGUUUCCACGGCCACAUCUGGAAGGCCAGGGGGAGGCAGCCGCCGUGCCAGGUGGAGCCGAAACCCCAGGUAACCAAGCCCACGAACUCAUCCAAGCCUUGUGAUCAGUCUCACUCUUUCUCGUCACUUUCCAAACUCUUCAUUAUGAGUUUUCUUAUAUUGUUUGACAGAACCAAAGUUUUUCCAGCCUUGACAAGAUAAUUGCUUCCAUAUCACAGCAGAAAUUUAAAAAUACACAGCUCUGUAUCUCCCUGACAAUGAUAAAUUGUCAUCAGAUACUAUCAUCUCACAAGUACACAGUGCCAGUAAUUACACAGAUUCAAACGGCAAUUUCCUAAAUAGAGCCUCUACAUUUUUGUUCUUGUUGACUCUGGGGGGUGGGGUACAUCCUUAUUAAAAGUCCCGAGGCCUAGGGUGCUCCUGAAAUAAGUUACAGGUGUGAACAGUGAACACACUCCCACAGUAGACUCCAUGAAAAUCACAAGGGUUCAAUAACAGAUUGGGAUAAGGCGUGUCCUUAAGA